GGCUGGUCCAAAGAUAGUAAGUUAUCUCACUUAAUCAAAGUUACAGAUUGAACUCCCUGUUCUACUCUUUUCCCACCUUCUCACUAUGCACUUGACUAGUCUUAA
Molecule: unclassified non-coding RNA, 105 nt
Organism: Otolemur garnettii (small-eared galago)
Lineage: Eukaryota; Metazoa; Chordata; Mammalia; Primates; Galagidae
Rfam family: Y RNA
About the family: Y RNAs are components of the Ro ribonucleoprotein particle (Ro RNP), in association with Ro60 and La proteins. The Y RNAs and Ro60 and La proteins are well conserved, but the function of the Ro RNP is not known. In humans the RNA component can be one of four small RNAs -- hY1, hY3, hY4 and hY5.
Source: Ensembl